CCCGCUCAGAAACUUAAAGGAAUUGACGGGGCCCGCGACAAGCGGUGGAGUAUGUGGUUAAUUCGAUGCAACGCGAAGAACCUUACCUGGUCUUGACAUCCCGGAGACCCUUAGGAAACUAGGGGGUGCUUCCAUCUGGAAGAAUCUGGAGACAGGUGCUGCAUGGCUGUCGUCAGCUCGUGUCGUGAGAUGUUGGGUUAAGUCCCGCAACGAGCGCAACCCUUGCCUUUAGUUGCCAGCAGUUCGGCUGGGCACUCUAAAGGGACUGCCGGUGUUAAACCGGAGGAAGGUGGGGAUGACGUCAAGUCCUCAUGGCCUUUAUGACCAGGGCUACACACGUACUACAAUGGCCGAUACAAAGGGCAGCGACACUGCGAGGUGAAGCCAAUCCCGUAAAAUCGGUCUCAGUCCGGAUUGGAGUCUGCAACUCGACUCCAUGAAGUUGGAAUCGCUAGUAAUCGUGGAUCAGCAUGCCACGGUGAAUACGUUCCCGGGCCUU
This 499-nucleotide ribosomal RNA is filed under the name uncultured Desulfobulbus sp. RNAcentral describes it as "bacterial SSU rRNA". It matches the Rfam family "Bacterial small subunit ribosomal RNA", at positions 888 to 1382 of the family's 1533-position model. Lineage: Bacteria; Pseudomonadati; Thermodesulfobacteriota; Desulfobulbia; Desulfobulbales; Desulfobulbaceae. The record is from RNAcentral.